This 433-nucleotide ribosomal RNA is filed under the name uncultured bacterium. RNAcentral describes it as "partial 16S ribosomal RNA". It matches the Rfam family "Bacterial small subunit ribosomal RNA", at positions 29 to 507 of the family's 1533-position model. The record is from RNAcentral.
AACGAACGCUGGCGGCAGGCCUAACACAUGCAAGUCGAGCGCGCCCUUCGGGGUGAGCGGCGGACGGGUGAGUAACGCGUGGGAACGUGCCCUUUUCUACGGAAUAGCCUCGGGAAACGGAGAGUAAUACCGUAUACGCCCUUUGGGGGAAAGAUUUAUCGGAAAAGGAUCGGCCCGCGUUGGAUUAGGUAGUUGGUGGGGUAAUGGCCUACCAAGCCGACGAUCCAUAGCUGGUUUGAGAGGAUGAUCAGCCACACUGGGACUGAGACACGGCCCAGACUCCUACGGGAAGCAGCAGUGGGGAAUCUUAGACAAUGGCGGCAACCCUGAUCUAGCCAUGCCGCGUGAGUGAUGAAGGCCUUAGGGUUGUAAAGCUCUUUCAGCUGGGAAGAUAAUGACGGUACCAGCAGAAGAAGCCCCGGCUAACUCCGUG